CCUACGGGUGGCAGCAGUGGGGGAUAUUGCACAAUGGGGGAAACCCUGAUGCAGCGACGCCGCGUGGGUGAAGAAGCGCCUCGGCGCGUAAAGCCCUGUCAGCCGGGGAGCAAAUGACGGUACCUGAAGACUAAGCCCCGGCUAACUACGUGCCAGCAGCCGCGGUAAUACGGAGGGGGCAAGCGUUAUCCGGGAUUACUGGGUGUAAAGGGGGCGCAGACGGGGAUGCAAGCCAGGAGGGAAAGCCCGGGGGCCAACCCCGGGACUGCCCUUGAAACUGCGGGGCUAGAGUGCAGGAGGGGUAGGCGGAAUGCGUGGUGUAGCGGUGAAAUGCGUAGAUAUCAGGAGGAACACCGGUGGCGAAGGCAGCCUGCUGGACUGCAACUGACGUUGAUGCCCGAAAGCGUGGGGAGCAAACAGGAUUAGAUACCCUAGUAGUC
This 440-nucleotide ribosomal RNA is filed under the name uncultured bacterium. RNAcentral describes it as "partial 16S ribosomal RNA". It matches the Rfam family "Bacterial small subunit ribosomal RNA", at positions 338 to 795 of the family's 1533-position model. The record is from RNAcentral.